Molecule: ribosomal RNA, 301 nt
Filed under: uncultured bacterium
Lineage: Bacteria
Description: partial 16S ribosomal RNA
Rfam family: Bacterial small subunit ribosomal RNA
Source: RNAcentral
CAGUCGCCGCGGUAAUACGGAGGAUCCAAGCGUUAUCCGGAAUCAUUGGGUUUAAAGGGUCCGUAGGCGGUCUUGUAAGUCAGUGGUGAAAGCCCAUCGCUCAACGGUGGAACGGCCAUUGAUACUGCAGGACUUGAAUUAUUGGGAAGUAACUAGAAUAUGUAGUGUAGCGGUGAAAUGCUUAGAGAUUACAUGGAAUACCAAUUGCGAAGGCAGGUUACUACCAAUUGAUUGACGCUGAUGGACGAAAGCGUGGGUAGCGAACAGGAUUAGAUACCCCAGUAGUCCCUGUCUCUUAUAA